Molecule: ribosomal RNA, 850 nt
Filed under: uncultured Alphaproteobacteria bacterium
Lineage: Bacteria; Pseudomonadati; Pseudomonadota; Alphaproteobacteria
Description: bacterial SSU rRNA
Rfam family: Bacterial small subunit ribosomal RNA
Source: RNAcentral
AGCUAGAGUAUGAUAGAGGAAAGCAGAAUUUCUAGUGUAGAGGUGAAAUUCGUAGAUAUUAGAAAGAAUACCAAUUGCGAAGGCAGCUUUCUGGAUCAUUACUGACACUGAGGAACGAAAGCAUGGGUAGCGAAGAGGAUUAGAUACCCUCGUAGUCCAUGCCGUAAACGAUGUGUGUUAGACGUUGGAAAUUUAUUUUCAGUGUCGCAGCGAAAGCAUUAAACACACCGCCUGGGGAGUACGACCGCAAGGUUAAAACUCAAAUGAAUUGACGGGGACCCGCACAAGUAGUGGAGCAUGUGGUUUAAUUCGAAGAUACGCGCAGAACCUUACCAACACUUGACAUGUUCGUCGCGACUUUAAGAGAUUAAAGUUUUCGGUUCGGCCGGACGAAACACAGGUACUGCAUGGCUGUCGUCAGCUCGUGUCGUGAGAUGUUGGGUUAAGUCCCGCAACGAGCGCAACCCUCACUUUUAGUUGCCAUCAUUAAGUUGGGCACUCUGAAAGAACUGCCAGUGAUAAGCUGGAGGAAGGUGGGGAUGACGUCAAGUCCUCAUGGCCCUUACGUGUUGGGCUACACACGUGCUACAAUGGCAUUUACAAUAGGAAGCAAGAUGGCGACGUCAAGCAAAUCCUAAAAAGAUGCCUCAGUUCGGAUUGUACUCUGCAACUCGAGUACAUGAAGCUGGAAUUACUAGUAAUCGCGGAUCAGCGCGCCGCGGUGAAUACGUUCCCGGGUCUUGUACACACCGCCCGUCACACCAUGGGAGUUGGUUCUACCUUAAGGCAAGGUUUAAAACCCUUGACCACGGUAUAGUCAGCGACUGGGGUGAAGUCGUAACAAGGUAAC